This 344-nucleotide ribosomal RNA is filed under the name bacterium xpnta514lbim17onnp9.8dc. Its description in RNAcentral is "bacterial SSU rRNA". It matches the Rfam family "Bacterial small subunit ribosomal RNA", at positions 50 to 381 of the family's 1533-position model. The record is from RNAcentral.
UAUACAUGCAGUCGAGCGGACUUGAUGANGAGCUUGCUCUCCUGAUGGUUAGCGGCGGACGGGUGAGUAACACGUAGGCAACCUGCCUGCAAGACCGGGAUAACCCACGGAAACGUGAGCUAAUACCGGAUAUCUCAUUUCCUCUCCUGAGGGNAUGAUGAAAGACGGAGCAAUCUGUCACUUGCGGAUGGGCCUGCGGCGCAUUAGCUAGUUGGUGAGGUAACGGCUCACCAAGGCGACGAUGCGUAGCCGACCUGAGAGGGUGAACGGCCACACUGGGACUGAGACACGACCCAGACUCCUACGGGAGGCAGCAGUAGGGAAUCUUCCGCAAUGGGCGAAAG